AGUGAACGCUGGCGGUAGGCCUAACACAUGCAAGUCGAACGGCAGCACAGUAAGAGCUUGCUCUUACGGGUGGCGAGUGGCGGACGGGUGAGGAAUACAUCGGAAUCUACUUUUUCGUGAGGGAUAACGUAGGGAAACUUACGCUAAUACCGCAUACGACCUACGGGUGAAAGCAGGGGAUCUUCGGACCUUGCGCGAUUGAAUGAGCCGAUGUCGGAUUAGCUAGUUGGCGGGGUAAAGGCCCACCAAGGCGACGAUCCGUAGCUGGUCUGAGAGGAUGAUCAGCCACACUGGAACUGAGACACGGUCCAGACUCCUACGGGAGGCAGCAGUGGGGAAUAUUGGACAAUGGGCGCAAGCCUGAUCCAGCCAUACCGCGUGGGUGAAGAAGGCCUUGGGGUUGUAAAGCCCUUUUGUUGGGAAAGAAAAGCAGCAGGUUAAUACCCCGCUGUUCUGACGGUACCCAAAGAAUAAGCACCGGCUAACUUCGUG
This 492-nucleotide ribosomal RNA is filed under the name uncultured bacterium. Its description in RNAcentral is "partial 16S ribosomal RNA". It matches the Rfam family "Bacterial small subunit ribosomal RNA", at positions 29 to 507 of the family's 1533-position model. The record is from RNAcentral.